AUGGCCCCGCUGAGCGAGCACCAGAUGCGCCUCACGCGCGCCCUGGCCAAGAGGCCCAAGACCAAGAUGCUCACCGGGUUCGGCGUCAAACCCACCGCUGCUUUCUCCAAGCCGGCGCAGCUGCAGGCGCAGGCGCUGCUGCCCGGUGCGCAGCCGCCGCGGCGGCGCGUGCGCGUCCUGUACGAGGACCCCGACGCCACCGACUCGGACACGGACGACGAGGAGGCUGUCGCCGCCCCUGCUUCGUCCAAGCGCUGCUUCGAGCUGUUCCUUGGCAAGGCCCCGCCGGCCAAGGUGUUUGCCAAGCCGGUCACUCCGACCGCCGCGGCUUCUGCCGUCGCUGCCUGCACCACCAGCAGCGCCGAGGGCCACCGUGGGGUGCGCCUCCGCAAGUGGGGCAAAUGGGCGGCCGAGAUCCGCAACCCGUUCUCCGGCAAGAGGGAGUGGCUUGGCACCUUCGACACUGCCGACCUGGCCUCCGCCGCCUACCAGGCCGCCUCCCGGAGCUUUAUCGAGGAGAAGCGUCGCCGCCGUGGCCAGUCUGUGGCUGCGGCCUCACCUGCUCGGUCGGCUGCGUCAACAACACCGACGUCGUCUUCUACUACACCAACGGCAUCUUCGUCGUCCUCCACCUCGGCUGCUCCAUUCGCACACCCGUCGCCGUCCUCUGUCCUGGAGGCCACCAAGCCAGCAGCCGAGUCCCUGUCGCCUGAGCCGACCCCAGUUCCCGUCAUGUUGUCCACCACGGCUGAGACUGCGCAGCUUCCUGACGACCCAGAGUUCUACCAGGACCUCCUGCGUGGUCUCCAGCUGCCGGACAUCGACCCGAUGGACUUCCGCGCCGGGCUUGAUGCCUUGGACGUCUCCGAGGCGUCGGCUUACUUGGACGGCGAACAGGAUCUGCUGCUCGGUGACCUGGCCGACGAGGACCUCGAGCUGGACAUGGACCUCGACAUCGGCGACGACUUCCUGGAGAUGCCUGGCUGCGACUUUGGCCGGGGCAUGGAUGAUUUCCUGCAAACCGUCGAUUUCUGCGUGUGA
Molecule: ribosomal RNA, 1041 nt
Filed under: Triticum aestivum (bread wheat)
Lineage: Eukaryota; Viridiplantae; Streptophyta; Magnoliopsida; Poales; Poaceae
Description: partial small subunit ribosomal RNA
Source: RNAcentral